This 253-nucleotide ribosomal RNA is filed under the name uncultured bacterium. RNAcentral describes it as "partial 16S ribosomal RNA". It matches the Rfam family "Bacterial small subunit ribosomal RNA", at positions 524 to 776 of the family's 1533-position model. The record is from RNAcentral.
GACGUAGGGUGCAAGCGUUGUCCGGAUUUAUUGGGCGUAAAGAGCUCGUAGGCGGCUUGUUGCGUCGACUGUGAAAACCCGCGGCUUAACCGCGGGCUUGCAGUUGAUACGGGCAGGCUAGAGUUCGGUAGGGGAGACUGGAAUUCCUGGUGUAGCGGUGAAAUGCGCAGAUAUCAGGAGGAACACCGGUGGCGAAGGCGGGUCUCUGGGCCGAUACUGACGCUGAGGAGCGAAAGCAUGGGGAGCGAACAGG